RNAcentral lists this ribosomal RNA (253 nucleotides) under uncultured bacterium. Its description in RNAcentral is "partial 16S ribosomal RNA". It matches the Rfam family "Bacterial small subunit ribosomal RNA", at positions 524 to 777 of the family's 1533-position model. The record is from RNAcentral.
UACGGAGGGUGCGAGCGUUGUCCGGAAUCACUGGGCGUAAAGGGCGCGUAGGUGGCGCGGGCAGUCAACGGUGAAAGUUCGGGGCUCAACCCUGAAUCGGCCGUCGAUACUCCCGGGCUUGAGCACUGUAGAGGCUAAUGGAAUUCCGGGUGUAGCGGUGGAAUGCGUAGAGAUCCGGAAGAACACCGGUGGCGAAGGCGGUUAGCUGGGCAGUUGCUGACACUGAGGCGCGACAGCGUGGGAGCAAACAGGG